GAUGAACGCUGGCGGCGUGCCUAAUACAUGCAAGUCGAGCGAACAGACGAGGAGCUUGCUCCUCUGACGUUAGCGGCGGACGGGUGAGUAACACGUGGAUAACCUACCUAUAAGACAGGGAUAACUUCGGGAAACCGGAGCUAAUACCGGAUAAUAUAUUGAACCGCAUGGUUCAAUAGUGAAAGACGGUUUUGCUGUCACUUAUAGAUGGAUCCGCGCCGCAUUAGCUAGUUGGUAAGGUAACGGCUUACCAAGGCAACGAUGCGUAGCCGACCUGAGAGGGUGAUCGGCCACACUGGAACUGAGACACGGUCCAGACUCCUACGGGAGGCAGCAGUAGGGAAUCUUCCGCAAUGGGCGAAAGCCUGACGGAGCAACGCCGCGUGAGUGAUGAAGGUCUUCGGAUCGUAAAACUCUGUUAUUAGGGAAGAACAUAUGUGUAAGUAACUGUGCACAUCUUGACGGUACCUAAUCAGAAAGCCACGGCUAACUACGUG
RNAcentral lists this ribosomal RNA (497 nucleotides) under uncultured bacterium. Its description in RNAcentral is "partial 16S ribosomal RNA". It matches the Rfam family "Bacterial small subunit ribosomal RNA", at positions 28 to 507 of the family's 1533-position model. The record is from RNAcentral.